GACGAACGCUGGCGGCGUGCCUAAUACAUGCGAGUUGAGCGCUGAAGGUUGGUACUUGUACCAACUGGAUGAGCAGCGAACGGGUGAGUAACGCGUGGGGAAUCUGCCUUUGAGCGGGGGACAACAUUUGGAAACGAAUGCUAAUACCGCAUAAAAACUUUAAACACAAGUUUUAAGUUUGAAAGAUGCAAUUGCAUCACUCAAAGAUGAUCCCGCGUUGUAUUAGCUAGUUGGUGAGGUAAAGGCUCACCAAGGCGAUGAUACAUAGCCGACCUGAGAGGGUGAGCGGCCGCAUUGGGACUGGGCCACGGCCCAAACCCCUACGGGAGGCAGCAGUCAGGAAGCUUCGGCGAUGGACGAAAGUCUGACCGAGCAACGCCGCGUGAGUGGAGAAGGUUUUCGGAUCGUAAAACUCUGUUGGUAGAGAAGAACGUUGGUGGGAGUGGAAAGCUCAUCAAGUGACGGUAACUACCCAGAAAGGUACGGCUAACUACGUG
This 497-nucleotide ribosomal RNA is filed under the name uncultured bacterium. RNAcentral's name for it is "partial 16S ribosomal RNA". It matches the Rfam family "Bacterial small subunit ribosomal RNA", at positions 28 to 507 of the family's 1533-position model. The record is from RNAcentral.